Cotesia glomerata is the source of this 2180-nucleotide RNA transcript. It is a transcript of the gene named chitinase domain-containing protein 1, with no coding region annotated. The transcript has 10 exons. The record is from RefSeq and is a predicted model, not a curated record. NCBI's taxonomy places the organism in Eukaryota, Metazoa, Arthropoda, Insecta, Hymenoptera, Braconidae.
UUUUAACUAAUACAAAAAAUCAGUACCUGUGAUUUAAGCUUAAAUAUAUUUUUUUAAUUUUCAAGUAAACAGCUGAUUAAAGCCACAUCAAACCGGGUUGUAUUAAAUUAUCAUAAAUAAUAGUUGCUAUAAGAAUAUUAAAUCAAGAAAAAUUUAUAUGUAUUCAAAAAAAUAUUUACAAAUAUAAAAUAAUUAUGAAUAGAUGGCUUCUGAUAAUAAGUUUGAUAUUAGUUAUAACAACAAUAGAAGGUACUUUGUCGCCACGUACUGAUAAAUCAAAAAAAGAUAAAGGAAGAACAGAGAUUAAGAAAGGACCGGUUGAUAAUAGUGUAUUCGACCGAGGUUUAGUUGUCCAAGAUCCUAAGAUUAGUGAUAUUGUCAAACAAGCUGGUCUUUAUUACAAAGACACCAAGAAAAGACAUUUUAAUAAUGAUGUAUUAGGAUAUAUAACUCCAUGGAAUGGUGAAGGACUUGAAAUAGCUAAGACCUUUCAUGGUAAAUUAACGCUUGUUUCUCCAGUAUGGUUCAAUUUACAAAGUUCUGAUAAGUUUCAAAUUGCCACGCAUGAUGUACAGAAGAAAUGGCUCAAAGAUAUAAAAACAGCUAAUGAAGGAAACCAUACUGUCAAAAUCUUACCCAGAGUUUUAUUUGAACAGUGGUCAGCGGGUGAUAUAUCUUCAUUGAACCGUGAUGUUCAGAAAAAAAAUCAACUAAUAACUUCGCUUGUUGAUUUAGCUCAGAAAUUUCAGUUUCAUGGAUAUGUAUUAGAAAUAUGGAAUCAAGUAAUUUACACAGGAGCUGAGUCAAAAGUUGUAGUCAAUGUAAUAAAAUCUUUGGCCAAAAGACUUAAAAGUAAACAAUUACAAGUAAUAUUAGCUAUUCCACCAGCUCAAGGACCACCGGGACAAAUAUUCUCACAAGGCCAAUUUGAAGAGUUGUCACCUCACAUUGAUUUCUUUUCAUUAAUGACCUAUGAUUUUUCAAAUGUCCAGCGACCUGGACCAAACAGUCCACUUGAAUGGGCACGAGAAUGCGUUGAAAAAUUAGUACCUGACGACGAUGAUCCAAAACGCUCUAAAAUAUUAAUGGGGCUAAACUUUUACGGAAAUAAUUACACACCUGAUGGUGGUGGUGCUAUUUUGGGAUCUGAGUACAUAAAAUAUCUCGAUUCUUACAAGGGUAAACUGCAGUGGGAUGAAAGAAGUAAAGAACAUCUGUUAGAAUAUCGAUCAUCAAAAGCCAGUGGUUAUAUAUUUUAUCCUACGCUCUAUUCCAUCCAACAAAGAAUAGACUUAGCCCGAGAAUUAGGAACUGGACUCUCAAUUUGGGAACUUGGCCAAGGUUUAAAUUACUUUUACGACCUAUUUUAAUGCGAUAAAACGGAAAAAUAAAAAACGAAUCCAAAAGCAUUACAUGAUACGAUUUCUGAUGAGAUUUGAGGCAAUACAUAAUCGUACAUUAAGAACGUCAUGCACAUGCGAUUAAAGUUCCAGUGGCCGGAUUUCUGGCGAGGUGAACGCGUUCCCCCAGGUGGUAUAUCUCUUUGGCGCUCACUCAUCGUACGACUAGAACUCUACGCAGAUACACCAGCAUAUAAUAACUCGUUUCUGACCAGUCACUCCAGCUCCACCAACUAAACCUCCACAUUCACUCAUCUACACACAUCCUAUCAAAACUGGAAUAAGACAAACUAGGCUAGAUGAAAGAUCACCAGCAGUGUCCUAGUGGUCGUCCUGUCCGGUUAUAUGUUUUAUUGCAAAUUAUGAUAUGUAUGAGUACAACUGAACGUGGCUGGGACAACAAAUAAGAAGGUAAUUGAAGCAUAGAGAGUAACAUAAGUACAGAAGGAAGCACGUGGCGAUACACACCAGCAAGAACCGAAAGCGUUCGAAUACAUCCGAGCAUUCGCCACCAGACACUAGACUACCACUACUUCCAUCAGCUACCACCUCUCAUUGAACAACAACUGCCGGACAAGUCGGAGUGUUUGCUGCUACCACCGUUGAUUCAACAUCGUUCAACAGAUACUUCUUACCCUAUUUCAAUCGGCCACCAACUCUCGUAGCAUCGAGUUCUUAACUAUCGUUACUCACGGAUGGACCAAAUAAUAGUUAUGAUUGAUUCCUCAUCCGACUUUUAAUUAUUUACCUAAGUGAUUUUAUUUUUAUUCAGUUCUACUA